This 8077-nucleotide unclassified non-coding RNA is filed under the name Penaeus chinensis. RNAcentral describes it as "down syndrome cell adhesion molecule-like protein Dscam2, transcript variant X6". The record is from RNAcentral. Lineage: Eukaryota; Metazoa; Arthropoda; Malacostraca; Decapoda; Penaeidae.
CUGAUGAGUGCAAAUGGCAGUCUCUCCGGCGCUGCGGGUGAAGAGGACCGAGGGCCCGUGUUUCUGCACGAGCCUCCAUCCCGACUCCACUUCUCCAAUACAACUGGAGCCCUUUUACCUUGUUCUGCUCAUGGCAAUCCACCACCACAAGUUGAAUGGCUGAAUGGAGGAGAUGUAGUAACGGAGGUCGCCGAUGUGUGCAUCGUCCACAAAAAUGGAUCACUACAGUUUUUGCCUUUUCCGCCCUACGCAUAUACGGCUGGCGUUCACGCUGCCACCUACUCUUGUCGAGCUUCCUCGUCUGCUGGCACUAUCAUCUCUCGACCAGUUCACGUCAGGGCUGUGGUACGUCAAUACUAUGAAGUACAAGUAUACGACGAGUUUGUGAUAAGUGGCAACACAGCCGUGAUCAAGUGCCACGUUCCUUCCUUUGUUCGGGAUUACGUCAGCGUCACAUCUUGGAUCAGAGGAAACGGCGAGAGGAUAGUUUCAGAUGUACUAACAGGUGGACGAUAUUCCGUAUUCGCAACAGGGGAGCUUCACAUCCGUCAUGUCACCAAAGCCGACGAGUUCCAGUCUUAUCACUGUGAAACUCAACACAUUCUGACCGAUGAAACCACAGUCUCCGCUCUUGCCGGCAGGUUGAUGGUGAACGAACCUCGGUCUUCUGUGCCGCCAAGGAUCACAGAUUCUCGGUCAAGUAUCAGAGCAUCUGUCAGGGACACCGUGGAGCUACCCUGUGCUGCUCAGGGAUAUCCGAUUCCCCAGUAUAAAUGGCACCGUGUAAAUCGAAAAGAGGAGGUCCCAGUAGUACAAGAUGGCCGGAUCAAACAAGUAGGAGGAUCUCUCCUCAUACGGCAAGUUACGGCUGGAGAUGCUGGCAGAUAUGUUUGUGUGGCAUCAAGCAGUGUUGGCUCAGAAAGAACACACACAACACUAGAGGUUUGGGCUCCGCUGACUGCUCACAUAACCCCUCAAGUGCAGACUGUUGAUGUAGGGAGCAUUGCUACUUUCAACUGCUCACCAGAGGGAUUUCCCCAAGAAAGCAUAUUAUGGUUUAAGGACGGCGAACGCUUAGAAGUGACCGCCCGUGUUCGGGUGGAGGGUCAACGCACCGUGAUAGUGGAGGACGUUCGUCGAGAGGAUCGAGGGAUGUACCAGUGUCUUGUAAAGAACUUCGAAGACACAGCUCAGGGGUCCGCUCAACUCAAACUCGGAGAUGCGUCGCCCCAGUGGAGGAGUACAAGCGGCCCAAAAGUUGUUUCGCCGGGAGCAACUGUGAUGUUAAUGUGUGCCGUACAGGGCUCUCCUCCGCCCGUAGUUACAUGGACUUUGCAAGGCCAACCUGUUCCUAAUAACGAUCCCAGGAUCAAGCAUUCACAAAAGGUUGAAGGUGAUCAUGUCGAGGGUCAACUGAAUAUCACAAGCAUCCGAGUAGAAGAUGGAGGGGAUUGGACAUGUGAGGCGAGGAACCGGGCAGGCCGGAUAGAACAUGCAGGUCGAUUGGACGUUCGCGGCCCUCCCACUAUUCGACCAAUGAGACCCUUACGGGUAGUGGCAGGCAGAACUGCAAUGUUCAACUGUAUAGUGGCAGGAUAUCCUAUUGAAUCUAUUUAUUGGGAGAAAAAUGGUGUUGUGCUUCCUGUAUCAGAGCGACAAGAGGUUCACAGCAAUGGUACCUUAGAAAUUCGGCAAGUGUCACGUGAGGCCGACAGUGGACAGUACAUCUGUGUAGCCACAUCUGGUGAAAACACCGCAAGAGCAAACCUUCAAGUAAACGUCAUGGUACCGCCGCAAAUAGAUGAGAGGAUGUUUUCCCUUGGGUCUGGAUUCCCUGCCAAGUCGCGAGCAAGGAUUAUGUGUGUUGUAGAACGAGGAGACUUGCCUUUGUCAUUCACCUGGACGCACGACGGCCGCCCCAUAACGCCAGGACCAAGCACAUCUAUUCGAUCACUCGAUGAAGUUACAAGCGUCUUAUUGUUUACUUCACUUCGAGAAGAGGAUGGUGGCAAAUAUACUUGCACAGCUACCAAUGCAGUUGCUUCAGACUCUCGCACUGUAGAACUUGUUGUGAAGGUUGCUCCAACCUGGAAGGUAGAGCCAGAGGAUGCGUCAGUGGUUGUUGGAGAAGACCUGUUGCUGCCUUGUGCUGCCAAUGGGUCUCCGACGCCUACGACCACAUGGCGCAGGGCGGAAGGCGCUGUUCCAAGGCAAUACCGUCCUGUGACUUCCCUAGGAGAAAAUGUCAGAGUGAGUUCUAACAGCAGCCUAAUGGUGCAGAGCAUCAAAAGGAACCAGGGAGGAGAGUUUCUGUGCAGUGCUUCCAAUGAUGUAGGGUCAGAUCUUUCUAAAUCUAUACGAGUUACUGUAAGAGUGCCACCACAGUUUGAAGAACAUGAAGAGAAUGUCACUGUGUCAGCCGGGCGAAGGGCAAUGUUGAAAUGUGAAGCUUACGGUGAUCUUCCAAUAGCCGUUACAUGGACAACUGGGAAUCCAGCAACAAGGAUUACAACACCGGGUUUAAAUGACGGCCAUCUAAAAAUCAAGGAAGCUGUUUUAAAUGGUUCAUUGGCAUCUUUUCCCACGGGAAGUUCUGUACGUACAGGGUCGCCAGUGUCAACCGAUCGCGAACAAGGUUUCCGAUCUGUUUUAAGUGUUUCUACAAAAUCUAGACACGAUUCAAAAGUUUUUUUUUGUCUUGCCACGAACAUUUAUGGGAACGAUACAAAGACCAUCAGUCUCAUUGUUCAAGAGGUACCAGGGACACCGGGCCCACCUCGGAUUAUAGACAGUGGAUCGCGCACAGUCAACCUCACCUGGUCAGCUCCUUCUCACGAUGGCAAUUCUCCAAUCACGACUUAUCGUAUAAUGAUUAUCAACAGCACAGAUUCUUGGAUGAAUGUUGGCCGCAUGAAGACCGUAGAAGUAAGCAUGCCAAUCGCUCGCAUAGACGACCUCAUGCCCGCUCAGUCCUACUUAGUUCGAGUAGUGGGAAUCAACAGUGUUGGCGCCUCCAAGCCAAGCCCUGAGGUGCGCAUCUCAACAGCCCACGAACCCCCGACAGCCACGCCGACCAGUGUCCGAAUCAUACCACUUUCUUCCACAAGUUUAAGGGUUACAUGGCAGCCUCCAGACACUGUCAUGGCGCAGAGAGCGAGUCUUGGCUAUUACGUUGGCUAUAAAGUGGCCAAUUCCUCCGAGCCAUUCCGUUACCAGAAUAUAGAUCCUUCACCAACUAUCGUCUAUCGACCUGAGGUUACACUGAAGUCCCUACAGAAAUUCACGAGUUACGAGGUUACCGUUCAAGCUUUUAAUUCUGCUGGAGCCGGGCCACGAACAUCACCAAUCACAUCUACGACGGAGGAGGAUGUUCCUAGUGAAGCACCGCGCGACGUCCACUGCAGCAGUUUGUCGUCGUCAUCUAUCCUUGUUCGCUGGACACCACCGCCUCCUACUUCGCUGCAUGGUAUUCUUCAAGGCUACAAGCUAGUUUACCGACCAGUUCACCGAAACAGAUUCUUCCAUCCUGAUGAUGUGAGUGAGAAAACUGUUGUGACUUUGUCAUCGUCACUGCUAGGCUUAGAUCGAUACACUAAUUAUAGUGUCAUGGUCGCAGCUUACACAAGAAGAGGAGAUGGUGUUCGAUCUGACCCGGUGCACUGCGUCACAGAGGAAGACGUUCCUGGGCCUGUCGAAUCUGUGAAAGCACUAGCUGUUGAUGGUCAGAGUGUUCUUGUGGCCUGGCGCCCUCCCAAAUUGCCCAACGGAGUUAUUACAAAAUACUCGGUGCAUCUUAUUCACCCGGAUCAGCAGGAUGCCUCUAGAACACCGUGGGGCAGUAAUAACGGAGGAAGUGGGUCAUGGUCCGUCCCAGGUUCACGCAGCCCUUCAGGUCCAUCAUGGGAAAGCAGAAGCUCCACUGACAAUGCUGACAACAUAGGCCGCUCAUGGGUGGUGUCAGGUUCCGAGCGUCAGUAUUUGGUGGCAGGACUUGUAGCUGCCAACGCCUACGGUUUCACUGUCCGAGGCUCGACAUCAGUCGGUGAAGGACCCACAGGCAGAAUGGUCAUCCAAAGGCCACGACAAGACGCCCCAGCUGCCAUUGCCUCAUUUUCUGAUAAAACAACAGCUGUCUGGGGAGAGGAAAUGCGCCUUGCUUGCCGAGUUGUUGGAAAUCCCACGCCAACUCGAACCUGGACAUUCAAUGGGAAAGUGAUAUCCUCCAAUGAUCAAAGAAUGAAGGAAUACCCGGAUGGAAAUUUGCUUAUUACUGAUGUGAAGGCGCAAGACACUGGGAACUAUACCUGCUCAGCCUCUAACAUUCACGGCUCUGAUGUCAUCACUUAUACGCUCACUGUUCAAGUUCCUCCAUCGCCGCCACUUGCUUAUGUGUCAGAUGUCACUUCCACAACACUGACUGUUCGUUGGCGGACAACUAAUAAUGGUGGCGCUCUAAUCCUAGGAUACUAUCUUUACGAAAAACGUGAGUUUGGAGAAUGGCGUCGUAUAGAAGUACCUGCUGUAGCAGACUCCUACACAUUAACUGGACUUCAGUGCGGCACACGGUACCAAGUCUAUGUCACUGCCUACAACCAUGUCGGAGCAUCACAACCGAGUGAUGCCAUUCCUACUAAAACAUUGGGUCGAGAGCCAAUAGUACCUACGCAAUCUUCCCUUCUACGUGUUAAUGUGACUUCGAUAAGUCUCAACCUGGCAGCGUGGCUGGAUGGCGGGUGCCCCAUCACCUCAAUGGUGGUCGAAUAUAAGGAGCGAGGUGUGGCUUCCUGGACUCUUGUCUCCAAUCAUGUUCGAUGGGAUAACGAAACGGAAUAUGUUGUAUUAGACUUGAAUCCGGCACACCGUUAUACCCUAAGAGUGACUGCACAUAAUUCGGCCGGAUCGUCAGUAGCUACAUAUCCUUUUACAACACUUACGCCCCUAGGAGCAACUUUAUCUCCGGAAGUAGUUGUUCACGGCGCCGUGGGUACAGCCCCAUGGUAUCUGGAUUCUCAUAUCCUGAUGGCUGUCGUCGUUGCUUGCAUCCUAGUGGUCCUUGCUGCCUGUAUUGCAAUAGCUUAUACUUGCAGGCGUACUAGGACUCAUACACAAACCUAUAAAGAGGUUAGCCAUGUCCACAAUGAUCUGACACCUGAUUCUGGUCUGACGUCGGAUACAAUGACCAGAGUUCACAGUCUAGAAAUCCUUGAGGCUUAUACUCCCUCAACACUGCCUUUGGGAGCUUAUGACGAGAUAUCCCCCUACGCAACCUUCAGGAUGCCUGGCAAUAAUAAAACGCCCCCGCCUCCACCUUUACCUUCGGUCAGUGAAUCUCAGCCUGUGGUGAGUGCUGUGGAGACGAACUACAGUCGAGUGAAAAGAAAAUGUCCCAUGCCCCCAGAAGGAGGCUUGCCGCCGACCCCUGGGAAUGCCUCAAGUGAUAUCACUUGCGAAAAGAACAACAAAAGCAAGAACGUUAGCAAGUGCCCUUCUAUAAAGGAAAAAGCAACCACCAAAGAAGCAAGUGGGUCAUCUGUGACGUCAGUAAGCAGUAAUCACGAAGAAUUAGUCCGAGCUUACCAUGCCCACGCUAACGAUUCUCCAACCACACCAGAGUCUGGCCGCCGAAACAAGUGUGGAACAACAAAAAAGGACCUGAAGUGAGUGUGUUCUUCCCAAAAGAUGAAGUGCUUACCAACAAGUGGCUAAGAGCAAUUAAGAGGGAUAACUUUGCUCCUAUGGCCAGUAGCAAGGUGUAUGAACUUUUUACGAAGGACAACUUGUCGGGAGAUCUAUGCCACAGACGAAAAAAUUGGGAGGAGAGUGAUAGCACCACCAAAGAACUCUUUCUUCCCAACUGUAAACCUUAAUACCAUGGCCACCAAAAAAGAAGGCCUGAUGCAUUGCGUUCGAAGGACAGUGAUAAUAUACAAGCACUCAAGACCAACACUUGACUCAAGGCGAGAAGGGAGAGAAGAAACAGCUCUAAGAAAAGUUUUGCUGCAGUGUUGCUAAUAAAAACCAACAAAGGAGAGAGAGAGAAUUUCAUAACAUCCAUGAAUCCCAGGAAUAUGUCAAAUUUAUAAAUUAAACAUUCUAGACUGAAAUUCGAGAAGAUGAUUCUCUUAUGAUCUGCCGAGUAGUAGAGUCACCAUAAUCAUGUAUACUGUUCUCUGCGGUUGUUAAGCCAGUAUGUACAGUCUUGGUGUUUUUGAAAGAUGUACAGGCUAAGAAGAUAUACAGUUCCUUCCAUUGUCAAUUGUAAAUGUUAGACAAUUUGAUUAAGAAAGCAAUGAUGUUAAUUCAUGCAGUGCAACGACUUUAACAGAUCUAGCUCUCUCUCUUUGCUAACUGCUAUAAAGGAUGAAUAUUUUCAGCAUCUGGCCACUCUUAAGUUUAAGGGUACUGCACCAUUAGAAGGAUUUCUGGGUGAAAUACUUGUAACCCUGGUGCUGAGCAACAAGACCAAAAUUUCUAAUUGUACAUGAAAAACAAUUUCAAAUUACUGAAUGUAGCAGGCAAAAUAGUAACGUUAACGAGACUUGAAAUUCACAUAAAGCUUUAUUUUGAAUACAAAGGUGGAAAUAUUGUUGGUGUAGGCAUUCAAUAGCUGUACACCUGCAACUAGUGCCAUGGUAGGUAGUAAUGUUUCUAUACCUCAGAUGUCUACAUAUUACCAGCAAAAUUCAUGAAGGGUGAAAUUCUUGCAUGGAUGUAUAAGAGAGGUGAUAUCAGGAUUAGUGGAUGUAGGCUUCUGUGUCUGCCCUUAUUACAGACAACUAUGCUAUUGAUGGAAAAGUAAUGUCCUAUUUUGCCUAAGUUUCUGAAUACAUUUUUUUCGUAGAUGGUGGACAAUCAUGAAUGUUCAAUCUCCCUUUAAAGGAGCUCGUCUGAACAAUAAUUUUGCCUCUCCACUCAAAAAUAGUGAAAAGGGUGAAAAAUAUCAGUAUCUGAACAAGUUCUGUGACUGGCUAGAAAUAAGACAGCAUUAGAGGAGGAAGGCUUAGUAAAGAGGCGUGCACUACAUUAAAACACAUAACUCAUGUCAUGAUAGAAAUAAAUAAUUCCUGUAUAUCUGAAUUAGCAUGAGAUAGAUUUUGCCUAGUAUAAUUUCAAACAGAUAAUCUUCAGAAAAGGUUUGGUCAUUAUCAUCAACUAUCUGGCAGUAAUUAUCAUAUUUCCUCAAUGCAAGUAUUUGAAUGUAAAUAAAUUCAUUAAUAAAUUUAAAAGAUCAGGAUGAAGUCAGUAAUAAAGCUAAAUUUGUCUAUAAAUGAGUCCUCUGUAAGUAGUGAAGUUGUUUUAUCAAACUAAUUGGGAAGAUAUGGAAAAGCACAGUUUGAAAGAUUUGCAUAAAAUAGAUGUAGAUGUUAAUAAGAGUGAUGCUAAAAUUUGUGAAAAUGAUUUACCGGUUACUAUUUAUGUAGCUGGUUACUGCUGCUACAUGGUAUGGAAAGAAAUUGCUGCAAUAUUUGUGUGGCAUCCUGUAAUAAGGAUAGGCCUGAGAGUCAAAAUAACACUAAGGGAAUUUCCUGAGGUGUUCUCCUACGCCCAAAUCCUGCUACAGUUAUCAUGGUAACUUUAUAAUUAUCAACACACAUUCUAGCAAGCAGUUAACACUGGCAGCAAAAGUAACUCUAACUGCACUAACAGAUGAUGAUUGUCUUUUGCUUACUGACUUUUGUGAGGGCAAACACAGCUGCCUAAAUCAUGGCAAGAUAAUUAUCUGGGCAUCAACAAUCACAUUGUUAAAUAAUAAUUGCUCUAAGGAAAAUAAUAUGUUGGCAUGGAAUAGAGACAUUAAAUGCUUAUUAUACCCAGGUUUAUAAGUUUUUUUAUAAGUUUGUUUUAUUCUGCACUAUUUUUUGUAUGUAAACUGUAGCUUUUCUUAGGCUAUUAUGUAAAGGAAAAAGGUGGAAGAGGAGUGAUAUAAGUUGUAGUUUGUUUUAAAAUGGAAAUUGUAAGACUCAUCCGUAAAGGAGUAUUUUUUAUAGCAUAUAUUAUUUCCCCUGUACUGCAGAAAAGUCGUACAUAUUUUAUGUUUACCUGUAUCCUGGAAACAAAUUGAGUGAAUUCAUUAUUG